AGAGUUUGAUCCUGGCUCAGAUUGAACGCUGGCGGAAUGCUUUACACAUGCAAGUCGAGCGGCAGCGCGGGGCAACCUGGCGGCGAGCGGCGAACGGGUGAGUAAUGCAUCGGAACAUGUCCAUGUCGUGGGGGAUAGCCCGGCGAAAGCCGGAUUAAUACCGCAUAAGCCCGAGAGGGGAAAGCAGGGGACCGCAAGGCCUUGCGCUAUGGGAGCGGCCGAUGUCCGAUUAGCUUGUUGGUGAGGUAAAGGCUUACCAAGGCGAUGAUCGGUAGCUGGUCUGAGAGGAUGAUCAGCCACACUGGGACUGAGACACGGCCCAGACUCCUACGGGAGGCAGCAGUGGGGAAUUUUGGACAAUGGGGGCAACCCUGAUCCAGCCAUUCCGCGUGAGUGAAGACGGCCUUCGGGUUGUAAAGCUCUUUUGUCCGGAGCGAAACGGUUACGGUGAAUAUCCGUGACUACUGACGGUACCGGAAGAAUAAGCACCGGCUAACUACGUGCCAGCAGCCGCGGUAAUACGUAGGGUGCGAGCGUUAAUCGGAAUUACUGGGCGUAAAGCGUGCGCAGGCGGUUUUGUAAGCCAGACGUGAAAUCCCCGGGCUUAACCUGGGAAUGGCGUUUGGGACUGCAAGGCUGGAGUAUGGCAGAGGGGACUAGAAUUCCUGGUGUAGCAGUGAAAUGCGUAGAUAUCAGGAGGAAUACCGAUGGCGAAGGCAGGUCCCUGGGCUAAUACUGACGCUCAUGCACGAAAGCGUGGGGGAGCAAACAGGAUUAGAUACCCUGGUAGUCCACGCCCU
This 800-nucleotide ribosomal RNA is filed under the name uncultured bacterium. RNAcentral describes it as "bacterial SSU rRNA". It matches the Rfam family "Bacterial small subunit ribosomal RNA", at positions 8 to 803 of the family's 1533-position model. The record is from RNAcentral.